Molecule: unclassified non-coding RNA, 240 nt
Filed under: uncultured Agaricales
Lineage: Eukaryota; Fungi; Basidiomycota; Agaricomycetes; Agaricales
Description: sequence contains ITS1
Source: RNAcentral
UUGAAUUCAAAGUGAAGCUGUAUGCUGGCUCUUCGGAGCAUGUGCACGCUUUGCAUAUAUUCAACCACCUGUGAACUUAUUGUAGACCUGGAGCUAACAUCUCAAGGAAACUUGGACAGAAGGCUUGCUGGUCACUUCAUUGAGAUCAACUGCCUUUGCUUGUUCUAGGUCUAUGUUCUAUAUACCCUAAUAAAAGUCAAAGAAUGUCAUGAACGGCUGUAAUGCCUUAAAACUAUAAUA